UGGGGAAUCGUCCAAUGGCAAGACCGCGGAUUCUGAUUCCGUUAAUCUAGGUUCGAAUCCUAGUUCCCCAGCCA
RNAcentral lists this transfer RNA (74 nucleotides) under Myxococcaceae bacterium. RNAcentral's name for it is "tRNA-Gln". It matches the Rfam family "tRNA". From Rfam's summary of the family: Transfer RNA (tRNA) molecules are approximately 80 nucleotides in length. Their secondary structure includes four short double-helical elements and three loops (D, anti-codon, and T loops). Lineage: Bacteria; Pseudomonadati; Myxococcota; Myxococcia; Myxococcales; Myxococcaceae. The record is from RNAcentral.